Molecule: ribosomal RNA, 301 nt
Filed under: uncultured bacterium
Lineage: Bacteria
Description: partial 16S ribosomal RNA
Rfam family: Bacterial small subunit ribosomal RNA
Source: RNAcentral
CAGUCGCCGCGGUAAAACAGAGGAUGCAAGCGUUAUCCGGAAUGAUUGGGCGUAAAGCGCGCGCAGGCGGAUAGGUCAGUCUGUCUUAAAAGUUCGGGGCUUAACCCCGUGAUGGGAUGGAAACUGCCAAUCUAGAGUAUCGGAGAGGAAAGUGGAAUUCCUAGUGUAGCGGUGAAAUGCGUAGAUAUUAGGAAGAACACCAGUGGCGAAGGCGACUUUCUGGACGAAAACUGACGCUGAGGCGCGAAAGCCAGGGGAGCGAACAGGAUUAGAUACCCCCGUAGUCCCUGUCUCUUAUACA